GGAGGCCCCUGGGGAUCGAAAGACCUUGUGCUUUUAGAGCGGCCGCCGUCUGAUUAGCUAGUUGGUAAGGUAAAGGCUUACCAAGGCAACGAUCAGUAGCUGGUCUGAGAGGACGACCAGCCACACUGGGACUGAGACACGGCCCAGACUCCUACGGGAGGCAGCAGUGGGGAAUUUUGGACAAUGGGCGCAAGCCUGAUCCAGCCAUGCCGCGUGAGUGAAGAAGGCCUUCGGGUUGUAAACCUCUUUCGGUCGGGAAGAAAUAGUUGUGGCUAAUAUCCAUAACGAAUGACGGUGCCGACAUAAGAAGCACCGGCUAACUACGUGCCAGCAGCCGCGGUAAUACGUAGGGUGCAAGCGUUAAUCGGAAUUAUUGGGCGUAAAGGGUGCGCAGGCGGAUGUAUAAGUCAGAUGUGAAAUCCCCGGGCUUAACCUGGGAAUUGCGUUUGAAACUACAAAGCUAGAAGGG
This 469-nucleotide ribosomal RNA is filed under the name uncultured beta proteobacterium. Its description in RNAcentral is "bacterial SSU rRNA". It matches the Rfam family "Bacterial small subunit ribosomal RNA", at positions 186 to 649 of the family's 1533-position model. The record is from RNAcentral. Lineage: Bacteria; Pseudomonadati; Pseudomonadota; Betaproteobacteria.